AGAGUUUGAUCAUGGCUCAGAGCGAACGCUGGCGGCAGGCUUAACACAUGCAAGUCGAACGGGCGUAGCAAUACGUCAGUGGCAGACGGGUGAGUAACACGUGGGAACGUACCCUUUGGUUCGGAACAACACAGGGAAACUUGUGCUAAUACCGGAUAAGCCCUUACGGGGAAAGAUUUAUCGCCGAAGGAUCGGCCCGCGUCUGAUUAGCUUGUUGGUGAGGUAAUGGCUCACCAAGGCGACGAUCAGUAGCUGGUCUGAGAGGAUGAUCAGCCACACUGGGACUGAGACACGGCCCAGACUCCUACGGGAGGCAGCAGUGGGGAAUAUUGGACAAUGGCGCAAGCCUGAUCCAGCCAUGCCGCGUGAGUGAUGAAGGCCCUAGGGUUGUAAAGCUCUUUUGGCGGGGAAGAUAAUGACGGCACCCGCAGAAUAAGCCCCGGCUAACUUCGUG
RNAcentral lists this ribosomal RNA (454 nucleotides) under uncultured bacterium. RNAcentral's name for it is "bacterial SSU rRNA". It matches the Rfam family "Bacterial small subunit ribosomal RNA", at positions 8 to 507 of the family's 1533-position model. The record is from RNAcentral.